AUUGAACGCUGGCGGCAUGCUUUACACAUGCAAGUCGAACGGUAACAGGCCUUCGGGUGCUGACGAGUGGCGAACGGGUGAGUAAUGCAUCGGAACGUGCCCAAUCGUGGGGGAUAACGUAGCGAAAGUUACGCUAAUACCGCAUAAGCCCUGAGGGGGAAAGUGGGGGACCGCAAGGCCUCACGCGAAUGGAGCGGCCGAUGUCAGAUUAGCUAGUUGGUGGGGUAAAGGCCCACCAAGGCGACGAUCUGUAGCGGGUCUGAGAGGAUGAUCCGCCACACUGGGACUGAGACACGGCCCAGACUCCUACGGGAGGCAGCAGUGGGGAAUUUUGGACAAUGGGCGCAAGCCUGAUCCAGCCAUGCCGCGUGCGGGACGAAGGCCUCGG
This 388-nucleotide ribosomal RNA is filed under the name uncultured bacterium. RNAcentral describes it as "bacterial SSU rRNA". It matches the Rfam family "Bacterial small subunit ribosomal RNA", at positions 29 to 420 of the family's 1533-position model. The record is from RNAcentral.